This 329-nucleotide ribosomal RNA is filed under the name uncultured eukaryote. RNAcentral describes it as "partial 18S ribosomal RNA". It matches the Rfam family "Eukaryotic small subunit ribosomal RNA", at positions 1470 to 1796 of the family's 1831-position model. The record is from RNAcentral.
CCCUUAGAUGUUCUGGGCCGCACGCGCGCUACACUGAUGCAUUCAACGAGUCUAAAACCUGCUCUGAUAGGGGUGGGUAAUCUUUUGAAUGUGCAUCGUGAUUGGGAUAGAUGAUUGCAAUUUUUCAUCUUCAACGAGGAAUGCCUAGUAAACGCAAGUCAUCAGCUUGCAUUGAUUACGUCCCUGCCCUUUGUACACACCGCCCGUCGCUCCUACCGAUUGAAUGAUCCGAUGAAUAUCAUGGAUUGAGGAUUAUAGCAGGUUCGCCUGUCUUGAUCUUCGAGAAGUGAAGUAAAUCUUAUCAUUUAGAGGAAGGGGAAGCCGUAACA